Molecule: long non-coding RNA, 717 nt
Organism: Acanthochromis polyacanthus (spiny chromis)
Lineage: Eukaryota; Metazoa; Chordata; Actinopteri; Pomacentridae
Exons: 5
Source: RefSeq, a predicted model, not a curated record
CGGCUCCACGUUCCUUCCUGACAGACAGUCAGACAGGUUACAGUCAGACAGACAGGUUACAGUCAGACAGACAGGUUACAGACAGACAGACAGGUUACAGUCAGGCAGACAGGUUACAGUCAGACAGGUUACAGUCAGACAGACAGGUUGCAGUCAGACAGACAGGUUGCAGUCAGACAGGUUGCAGUCGGACAGACAGGUUACAGUCAGACAGGUUGUAGUCAGACAGGUUGCAGUCAGACAGGUUGCAGUCAGACAGGUUGCAGUCGGACAGACAGGUUACAGUCAGACAGGUUACAGUCAGACAGGUUGCAGUCGGACAGACAGGUUACAGUCAGACAGGUUACAGUCAGACAGGUUGCAGUCAGUCAGACAGGUUGCAGUCAGACAGGUUACAGUCAGACAGACAGGUUACAGUCAGACAGACAGGUUACAGUCAGACAGGCAGGUUACAGACAGGUUACAGACAGACAGGUUACAGUCAGACAGGUUACAGAUGGACUGGUUACAGUCAGACAGGCAGGCAGGUUACAGUCAGACAGGUUACAGACAGGCAGGUUACAGUCAGACAAACAGGUUACAGUCAGACAGACAGGUUACAGUCAGACGGACAGGUUACAGCCAGACGGACAGAUUACAGUCGGCAGGCAUCAGACAGACAGAUGGACAGGUUACAGACAGACAAACAUGUUACAGUCAGACAGGUUACAGUCAGAC